CACCCCGACGAGGGGAGUGAAACAGUACCUGAAACCGAACGCCUACAAUCAGUCGGAGCUUGACUGGACUCUAAUAACAAUCUGCGCCAUGGAGAUCUUCUGACCAUCAGGAGAUACAAUAUGGCCGACGGAACCUUUGCAGUGCUUAUGCUCAUAGCGGGUCUUACCGAUAUGAACAGUAAUUACUGUGGAACAUCAACAGGAUGCCUAGGGACGUCUGAUACGACGCCCCGUCUGGAAUUUUCUGCUGGACAGGUUCUGGAACGGCGGGCCGAUACAGCGGAAGAAGUUUAUCUGCGUUACGAUCUGGGCCGAAACUACGGCCCGUUCGGAAGCGCAGUUGGCUUGUCGGUCGGCGAGCAUGGCGAAACUUGGCUCGGUAUGGGCGCAACCUAUACCGUAAAUAUUGCACAGAGCCCUGUUUACGCAGAGCUACAUGUGAUGCCUGGUUUAUAUGCUGACAAUGGUGGGUUCGACCUCGGUGGACCGCUCGAAUUCCGUUCGGGCAUCGAACUGGGAUACGAACUCCGCAGUGGCUGGCGUAUGGCGCUGAGCUAUGAUCACCGUUCCAAUGCAGGAAUAUUCGACAACAAUCCGGGAAUUGAAACAGUUCAGUUCAGGGUGUCGAUGCCCUUAAGAUAAUUGUUAUUAGUGUCCAGUCUUGUGACGGCGUACCUUUUGUAUAAUGGGUCAUCGACUUGGUCUAUCUAGCAAGCUUAAGCCG
This 724-nucleotide ribosomal RNA is filed under the name Puniceibacterium antarcticum. Its description in RNAcentral is "partial 23S ribosomal RNA". It matches the Rfam family "Bacterial large subunit ribosomal RNA", at positions 522 to 655 of the family's 2925-position model. The record is from RNAcentral. Lineage: Bacteria; Pseudomonadati; Pseudomonadota; Alphaproteobacteria; Rhodobacterales; Paracoccaceae.